This is a small nucleolar RNA of Otolemur garnettii (small-eared galago), 104 nucleotides long. The record is from Ensembl. Lineage: Eukaryota; Metazoa; Chordata; Mammalia; Primates; Galagidae.
AUCCUUUUGUAGUUUAUAGGCGUGAUGACUGGGUUUUCAGGCACAUGGGUGAGCUGUACCUCCCACAAAUUUUGUUACAAUGUCAGCACAUUACCCAUCUGACA